This 464-nucleotide ribosomal RNA is filed under the name uncultured bacterium. RNAcentral describes it as "bacterial SSU rRNA". It matches the Rfam family "Bacterial small subunit ribosomal RNA", at positions 338 to 795 of the family's 1533-position model. The record is from RNAcentral.
CCUANGGGAGGCAGCAGUGGGGAAUAUUGGACAAUGGGCGCAAGCCUGAUCCAGCAAUACCGCGUGUGUGAAGAAGGCCUGAGGGUUGUAAAGCACUUUCAAUAGGGAGGAAAACCUGCCGGCGAAUACCCGGCAGCUUGACAUUACCUAUACAAGAAGCACCGGCUAACUCCGUGCCAGCAGCCGCGGUAAUACGGAGGGUGCAAGCGUUAAUCGGAAUUACUGGGCGUAAAGCGUGCGUAGGCGGUUAAUUAAGUCAGAUGUGAAAGCCCCGGGCUUAACCUGGGAACUGCAUUUGAUACUGGUUGACUAGAGUUUAGUAGAGGAGAGUGGAAUUUCAGGUGUAGCGGUGAAAUGCGUAGAUAUCUGAAGGAACACCAGUGGCGAAGGCGACUCUCUGGACUAAAACUGACGCUGAGGUACGAAAGCGUGGGUAGCAAACAGGAUUAGAUACCCCUNUANUC